CAUGCAGUCGUGGGGCAGCAGGGGUGUAGCAAUACACUCGCUGGCGACCAGCAAACGGGUGCGGAACACGUACGCAAUCUACCCAAAACUGGUGAAUAGCCCUCCGAAAGGAGGAUUAAUACACCGUAACCUAUUGAAGUGGCAUCACUUUAUUAGUAUAGCUCCGGCGGUUUUGGAUGAGCGUGCGGCUGAUUAGAUAGUUGGCGGGGUAACGGCCCACCAAGUCUGCGAUCAGUAACUGGUGUGAGAGCACGACCAGUCACACGGGCACUGAGACACGGGCCCGACUCCUACGGGAGGCAGCAGUAAGGAAUAUUGGUCAAUGGACGCAAGUCUGAACCAGCCAUGCCGCGUGGAGGAUGAAGGCCCUCUGGGUUGUAAACUUCUUUUAUCUGGGACGAAACCCUCAUAUUCUUAUGAGACUGACGGUACCAGAGGAAUAAGCACCGGCUAACUCCGUGCCAGCAGCCGCGGUAAUACGGAGGGUGCAAGCGUUAUCCGGAUUCACUGGGUUUAAAGGGUGCGUAGGAGGGCAGGUAAGUCAGUGGUGAAAUCUCCAAGCUUAACUUGGAAACUGCCGUUGAUACUAUCUGUCUUGAAUGUUGUGGAGGUGAGCGGAAUAUGUCAUGUAGCGGUGAAAUGCUUAGAUAUGACAUAGAACACCAAUUGCGAAGGCAGCUCACUACACAAUUAUUGACUCUGAGGCACGAAAGCGUGGGGAUCAAACAGGAUUAGAUACCCUGGUAGUCCACGCCCUAAACUAUGGAUACUCGACAUACGCGAUAUACAGUGUGUGUCUGAGCGAAAG
Molecule: ribosomal RNA, 808 nt
Filed under: uncultured Sphingobacteriia bacterium
Lineage: Bacteria; Pseudomonadati; Bacteroidota; Sphingobacteriia
Description: bacterial SSU rRNA
Rfam family: Bacterial small subunit ribosomal RNA
Source: RNAcentral